AUUUGGGGGAUCUGUUGUGUGUUAGACUGUAUCCCAAUUCCCUGUAUUAGUGUGGCGGAAAAACAAAAACCUGUGCUGUUGACGUAGUUGGCAAUGAGAUACCUUUGGACACAAUAGUAGGUCAAUGUGUAUAUGGGAUAUUCUGAACUCCUAGGCAAUUUAUUUCGAUAUUUUCAAGUACUCUUUGGUUUUUACUCGUGGAAGACAUAAUUAGCUCAAGCUUAUCAGUAACACAGAUGAGUCAUGUUUUUCUUGGAUCUACUUGAGACACGAAAAUCAAGUUUUCUUUUGCACAUCACCUUCAUGUGCGGUGAAAUUCAGACUGGGACAUUAGACAUGGACAACUCUUUUUCUUUUGGUACCUACGGCUUCAUUUACUGGGUUAACCCUUUUUCCAUUAACCCAUUCGGAUCUCCAUUAAGACAAGCUAGUUGCUGACUUUGCAAAGAUGUUUGCAACACAAGCCCAUUUAAAAUCAACGAAGGAGCUAAAAAUGACCAUUGGAACAUAAACCACAUGUGCAAAAAGAUUUCAACACUUACACCAGUGGUUGGUAUAUGUUGGUCCAUACCUACAUGUAUGAAAUGGACAGUUGCAAACAUGUCAGUGAAACCUCAUGUGGUGUUAUUUUUUAUAGUGAUAUGCAUGUUUAAUGUUUGAGGAACUAGUCACCAAUGUACUGUCCUUUAUUCCUAACAUAUAAAUACUAUACAUGCCAGAAGCUAUUCUAAUGUGACUAUUGAACUGAGGUUUCACUGUGUUGCUGCUGGGAUGGGAUUCUACCCUGCGGUACAUGCGUAGGGAGGGUGUAAAAUAAGCCGUCAUGUUUCUUUUUAAGUUGCAGCCGACUCUCCACCAAGUCACUAUUAUCAUCACCACCAAAUUUUUCAGAAACAGUUGUUGACUACUCAGAAGUAGUCAGUGGGCAGACCUCUUCGGGAGCAGUAAGCACAGUAGUGUGAUUCGAGCUGGGAAACAUCAAAGCUAUACAGCUGUAUCCUCCUCAAAACCUGGUGAAGAAUGCUAUUUUUCUAGGCUGAGCUUUUGUUAUAAACCUAAUAUUCUGAAAGCAAGGGUUAACUAUCCUAAUCUGUCUUUUUCUUUUUCUCCUCCUGCAUUUGUUAAUUCUGAAUGUAUUUUUAACAGAGUGAUUUUUUUGACUUUACUAGUGUAAUUUGCAUUUUAAAAAUAAAUGGAAAAAUG
Molecule: long non-coding RNA, 1203 nt
Filed under: Rattus norvegicus (Norway rat)
Lineage: Eukaryota; Metazoa; Chordata; Mammalia; Rodentia; Muridae
Description: long non-coding RNA NONRATT000106
Source: RNAcentral